GAGCCGUAAGACCCAACACCCUUCAACUCUCUUCCACUUUAGAAGAGCCGUUAGUCCCGUAAGGGCCAACACUCUUCAACUCUUUUCCACUUUAGAAGAGCCGUUAGUCCCGUAGAAUCCAAGAACUCCCACUCUACCUAGUCGCAAAAGAACCGUAAGAACCGUAAGCACCGAACAAAAAAAAAAAAAAAAAAACGUAAGAGACGUCUCUACAAGUUAAAUUGCACUCCAUAGUUGAAAAAAUUCCAACUAUUGAGUGGGGGACAAACUGUAAUGGCCAAAAUUCGUAUAAGCCUAAUUAACAAUAACUAUGCAGCCCAACGAGCUAGUCCGAUAAAACGGCCCAUACGACACUCAUAGUACAACGCCC
Molecule: long non-coding RNA, 370 nt
Filed under: Salvia miltiorrhiza (redroot sage)
Lineage: Eukaryota; Viridiplantae; Streptophyta; Magnoliopsida; Lamiales; Lamiaceae
Description: long non-coding RNA (SMIL_LNC013278)
Source: RNAcentral